RNAcentral lists this ribosomal RNA (185 nucleotides) under uncultured Burkholderiales bacterium. RNAcentral's name for it is "partial 16S ribosomal RNA". It matches the Rfam family "Bacterial small subunit ribosomal RNA", at positions 342 to 520 of the family's 1533-position model. Lineage: Bacteria; Pseudomonadati; Pseudomonadota; Betaproteobacteria; Burkholderiales. The record is from RNAcentral.
GGGGAGGCAGCAGUGGGGAAUUUUGGACAAUGGGGGCAACCCUGAUCCAGCAAUGCCGCGUGAGUGAAGAAGGCCUUCGGGUUGUAAAGCUCUUUUGUCAGGGAAGAAACAGCAGCUCUAACACAGUCUGCGAAUGACGGUACCUGAAGAAUAAGCACCGGCUAACUACGUGCCAUCAGCCGCGG